This is a long non-coding RNA of Mastomys coucha (southern multimammate mouse), 388 nucleotides long. RefSeq lists it as uncharacterized. Lineage: Eukaryota; Metazoa; Chordata; Mammalia; Rodentia; Muridae. The transcript is spliced from 4 exons. The record is from RefSeq and is a predicted model, not a curated record.
UCCCAAGGCACCGGAAGUCAGGACAGCUGAGGAUGUGUGGUCUCUGUUUUCUCUGAAAAUAUGAUGGAGGGCCAUUUAACAGGACACAGCAGCGGACUUUACAGCCUACUUCCAGUCGAGUUUUUUCUCCUUUCCACAGUCAGGCUGUCCACAGACCAUCUUGAUGGAUUUUGCUGUUAUCUUUCAAUCAUCUUAGCUGUUCUGUCCAUGUCAUUGUCGUGACUGACCUUUUGCUAAGCCACUGUGAGCAGGCAUAGAAGAGCAGCUGAGGUGUCAGGCUUCAGAGAUGAGAGGAUUGAACCCAGGGCCUCAUGAUUAAUGGAUAAACUGUACCACUGAGGUGUAUCUCCAACUUUAAAAAAAAAAGAGAGAGAGAUGAAUGAUGGGG